ACUAAAUAUAUAAAGUCUUAAGUUUCCAAAAAUAUCCAAAAUAUAAUAAAAACCUCUAAAUCCUUAUAUAUCCUUAUAAGGAAAUAUUUCCGAACUUCAACAACUCAUAUCUUCCAAUCGGACUAUUCAAACAUACUACAAUUUUACAUAAAGUACUGAUGUACUUCUAAAAACUACCACAACAAAUUUCAAUUGUAAAUUCAUUGCGGUGUCGUAUUAU
Molecule: long non-coding RNA, 220 nt
Filed under: Physcomitrium patens
Lineage: Eukaryota; Viridiplantae; Streptophyta; Bryopsida; Funariales; Funariaceae
Description: long non-coding RNA (PPAT_LNC011244)
Source: RNAcentral